This 490-nucleotide ribosomal RNA is filed under the name uncultured bacterium. RNAcentral's name for it is "partial 16S ribosomal RNA". It matches the Rfam family "Bacterial small subunit ribosomal RNA", at positions 30 to 507 of the family's 1533-position model. The record is from RNAcentral.
AUUGAACGCUGGCGGCAGGCCUAACACAUGCAAGUCGAACGGUAACAGGAAACAGCUUGCUGUUUCGCUGACGAGUGGCGGACGGGUGAGUAAUGUCUGGGAAGCUGCCUGAUGGAGGGGGAUAACUACUGGAAACGGUAGCUAAUACCGCAUAACGUCGCAAGACCAAAGAGGGGGACCUUCGGGCCUCUUGCCAUCGGAUGUGCCCAGAUGGGAUUAGCUAGUAGGUGGGGUAACGGCUCACCUAGGCGACGAUCCCUAGCUGGUCUGAGAGGAUGACCAGCCACACUGGAACUGAGACACGGUCCAGACUCCUACGGGAGGCAGCAGUGGGGAAUAUUGCACAAUGGGCGCAAGCCUGAUGCAGCCAUGCCGCGUGUAUGAAGAAGGCCUUCGGGUUGUAAAGUACUUUCAGCGGGGAUGAAGGGAGUAAAGUUAAUACCUUUGCUCAUUGACGUUACCCGCAGAAGAAGCACCGGCUAACUCCGUG